Molecule: ribosomal RNA, 380 nt
Filed under: uncultured eukaryote
Lineage: Eukaryota
Description: partial 18S ribosomal RNA
Rfam family: Eukaryotic small subunit ribosomal RNA
Source: RNAcentral
CAAUAGCGUAUAUUAAAGUUGUUGCGGUUAAAAAGCUCGUAGUUGGAUUUCUGCCGAGGACGACCGGUCCGCCCUCCGGGUGAGCAUCUGGCUCGGCCUAGGCAUCUUCUUGGGGAGCGUAUCUGCACUUCAUUGUGUGGUGCGGUAUCCAAGACUUUUACUUUGAGGAAAUUAGAGUGUUUCAAGCAGGCCCACGCCUUGAAUACAUUAGCAUGGAAUAAUAAGGUAGGACCUCGGUUCUAUUUUGUUGGUUUCUAGAAUUGAGGUAAUGAUUAAUAGGGAUAGUUGGGGGCAUUCGUAUUUAACUGUCAGAGGUGAAGUUCUUGGAUUUGUUAAAGACGGACUACUGCGAAAGCAUUUGCCAAGGAUGUUUUCAUUGA